Molecule: ribosomal RNA, 560 nt
Filed under: uncultured bacterium
Lineage: Bacteria
Description: bacterial SSU rRNA
Rfam family: Bacterial small subunit ribosomal RNA
Source: RNAcentral
CCUACGGGAGGCAGCAGUGGGGAAUCUUAGACAAUGGGGGCAACCCUGAUCUAGCCAUGCCGCGUGAGUGAUGAAGGCCUUAGGGUCGUAAAGCUCUUUCGCCUGUGAUGAUAAUGACAGUAGCAGGUAAAGAAACCCCGGCUAACUCCGUGCCAGCAGCCGCGGUAAUACGGAGGGGGUUAGCGUUGUUCGGAAUUACUGGGCGUAAAGCGCGCGUAGGCGGAUUAGAAAGUUGGGGGUGAAAUCCCGGGGCUCAACCUCGGAACUGCCUCCAAAACUGCUAGUCUAGAGUUCGAGAGAGGUGAGUGGAAUUCCGAGUGUAGAGGUGAAAUUCGUAGAUAUUCGGAGGAACACCAGUGGCGAAGGCGGCUCACUGGCUCGAUACUGACGCUGAGGUGCGAAAGUGUGGGGAGCAAACAGGAUUAGAUACCCUGGUAGUCCACACCGUAAACGAUGAAUGCCAGUCGUCGGAUAGUAUACUAUUCGGUGACACACCUAACGGAUUAAGCAUUCCGCCUGGGGAGUACGGUCGCAAGAUUAAAACUCAAAUGAAUUGACGG